UGGAUAGUCCCAAAGAUGAAAGUCUUUUUAUCUAGGAAACAAUGCUGCCUGGACAAGCUACAGUGUGAGCUUCUCCUGGUACCACAGUUAUGUGCCUCAACUCAGACCUGGAGGGGACCACCUUUCAGAGAUCAGAGAACAGUUCAAUGUACCUGUCUGUAUAAUACUUGG
This 171-nucleotide small RNA is filed under the name Chelonoidis abingdonii (Abingdon island giant tortoise). RNAcentral's name for it is "TUC338 (ENSCABG00000011281.1)". The record is from RNAcentral. Lineage: Eukaryota; Metazoa; Chordata; Testudines; Testudinidae.